RNAcentral lists this non-coding RNA (25 nucleotides) under Rattus norvegicus (Norway rat). Lineage: Eukaryota; Metazoa; Chordata; Mammalia; Rodentia; Muridae. The record is from RNAcentral.
UUCUAGAGCAGUAUCUUAAUGGGGG